RNAcentral lists this ribosomal RNA (253 nucleotides) under uncultured bacterium. RNAcentral describes it as "partial 16S ribosomal RNA". It matches the Rfam family "Bacterial small subunit ribosomal RNA", at positions 524 to 776 of the family's 1533-position model. The record is from RNAcentral.
UACGUAGGGGGCAAGCGUUGUCCGGAUUUAUUGGGCGUAAAGAGCGUGUAGGCGGCCUGACAGGUCUGCUGUGAAAACUCGAGGCUCAACCUCGAGAUGUCGGCGGAAACCGUCUGGCUAGAGUCCGGAAGAGGAGAGUGGAAUUCCUGGUGUAGCGGUGAAAUGCGCAGAUAUCAGGAGGAACACCGGUGGCGAAGGCGGGUCUCUGGGCCGAUACUGACGCUGAGGAGCGAAAGCGUGGGGAGCGAACAGG